This 328-nucleotide ribosomal RNA is filed under the name uncultured Streptococcus sp. Its description in RNAcentral is "bacterial SSU rRNA". It matches the Rfam family "Bacterial small subunit ribosomal RNA", at positions 1057 to 1382 of the family's 1533-position model. The record is from RNAcentral. Lineage: Bacteria; Bacillati; Bacillota; Bacilli; Lactobacillales; Streptococcaceae.
AGCUCGUGUCGUGAGAUGUUGGGUUAAGUCCCGCAACGAGCGCAACCCCUAUUGUUAGUUGCCAUCAUUCAGUUGGGCACUCUAGCGAGACUGCCGGUAAUAAACCGGAGGAAGGUGGGAUGACGUCAAAUCAUCAUGCCCCUUAUGACCUGGGCUACACACGUGCUACAAUGGUUGGUACAACGAGUUGCGAGUCGGUGACGGCGAGCUAAUCUCUUUAAAAGCCAAUCUCAGUUCGGAUUGUAGGCUGCAACUCGCCUACAUGAAGUCGGAAUCGCUAGUAAUCGCGGAUCAAGCAACGCCGCGGUCGAAUACGUUCCCGGGCCUU